This 398-nucleotide ribosomal RNA is filed under the name uncultured bacterium. RNAcentral describes it as "partial 16S ribosomal RNA". It matches the Rfam family "Bacterial small subunit ribosomal RNA", at positions 523 to 918 of the family's 1533-position model. The record is from RNAcentral.
AUACGUAGGGUGCGAGCGUUGUCCGGAAUUACUGGGCGUAAAGAGCUCGUAGGUGGUUUGUCGCGUCGUCUGUGAAAUUCCGGGGCUUAACUCCGGGCGUGCAGGCGAUACGGGCAUAACUUGAGUACUGUAGGGGAGACUGGAAUUCAUGGUGUAGCGGUGAAAUGCGCAGAUAUGAGGAGGAAAACCGGUGGCGAAGGCGGGUCUCUGGGCAGUAACUGACGCUGAGGAGCGAAAGCAUGGGUAGCGAACAGGAUUAGAUACCCUGGUAGUCCAUGCCGUAAACGGUGGGCGCUAGGUGUAGGGGUCUUCCACGACUUCUGUGCCGUAGCUAACGCAUUAAGCGCCCCGCCUGGGGAGUACGGCCGCAAGGCUAAAACUUAAAGGAAUUGACGGGG